Molecule: ribosomal RNA, 583 nt
Filed under: uncultured fungus
Lineage: Eukaryota; Fungi
Description: eukaryotic LSU rRNA
Rfam family: 5.8S ribosomal RNA (bases 211-364)
Source: RNAcentral
AGUCGUAACAAGGUCUCCGUAGGUGAACCUGCGGAGGGAUCAUUACACAAAUAUGAAGGCGGGCUGGAACCUCUCGGGGUUACAGCCUUGCUGAAUUAUUCACCCUUGUCUUUUGCGUACUUCUUGUUUCCUUGGUGGGUUCGCCCACCACUAGGACAAACAUAAACCUUUUGUAAUUGCAAUCAGCGUCAGUAACAAAUUAAUAAUUACAACUUUCAACAACGGAUCUCUUGGUUCUGGCAUCGAUGAAGAACGCAGCGAAAUGCGAUAAGUAGUGUGAAUUGCAGAAUUCAGUGAAUCAUCGAAUCUUUGAACGCACAUUGCGCCCUUUGGUAUUCCAAAGGGCAUGCCUGUUCGAGCGUCAUUUGUACCCUCAAGCUUUGCUUGGUGUUGGGCGUCUUGUCUCUAGCUUUGCUGGAGACUCGCCUUAAAGUAAUUGGCAGCCGGCCUACUGGUUUCGGAGCGCAGCACAAGUCGCACUCUCUAUCAGCAAAGGUCUAGCAUCCAUUAAGCCUUUUUUUCAACUUUUGACCUCGGAUCAGGUAGGGAUACCCGCUGAACUUAAGCAUAUCAAUAAAAGUCG